UCACGGGUGGCCCAAUUUAACGCACCACAGUCAGGGGGCUUGCGUACACGGCUUCGUGGUGCCCACCGGCCAGGCCACCCGAUGUUUGAUGAUUGACUUAUAGACCAACUCCACUGUUCCCACCCCAGGGACACAACUCCUCUGCUCCCUUUAUGCCAGACCCCCUGAUGCCUGGCGGCUUGUUUGAAGAUCUGAGUCUUUGGGGCAGACUGAGGUCCCCGCCCACAGCCCUGGAGGGGGGUGACCUCGGGGCUCACCGCUGGUUCUGUCAGAAGACUCCAGGCACAGACCCUCCAGGGAAGUGACUGAAGCCCCAGUCGCCAAACAGACUCAAACCUCCCCCGAAAAACAUGCCGAACGCCAGAGCAGUUAAUAUGAUUUAUUAAUCUGCCAGGAACUUUUCAAGAUUUUAAUGUGGUGUUUAGAGUCUAUUUAACAGGGUAACAAAAGCCCCAGCACCAGAAACCGUAAAUAAUUAUCACAUCCAUCGGGUCUUUCAUGUGUGGACGCGGCGUCUUCCUCCGAGCUGCUCCGCAGCAAUUUUGCGGCUUCUCCCUGCGUUUGGAACAAGCUCCCAGUUCAUCAAAGAAGGUGCCAACCCAGGGCUUCAGGAAGCGCCAAAGAGGGACCCCUGCAAGUCUGUGAUUAGAAUACAAGAGGGAGGAUCAAGGAGAUGAGACUGGAAGGACUGCUGGAUUCUCUUGCCCUCCACUAGCAGAUGUCCACCUGCGGUCACUCCCAGGGUCUCCAGCAGAGACGACACAGGACCCAGUGGCCUCACACCAUGCAGGCUGCCUUCAGGACCAUGUCCUGGGCCAGUGGCCCCACCUCCCCAGCACAGUAGAGCCCUCGGUGAGCUGGGCCCAGAGGCCAGAGGAAGAGGAGCCCUGUCCUCCUGUGAUUCCGGGGUCAGACCAGCCGGCUGAUCAACAACCGAGAGAGCGGCCCAGCCCCCCUGUUUUGACCAAAGGUGCCUGGAGCUCAGAUGGGGCUGGAAGUGGCCCCCAAGGGGUGGAGGGACAGGGAAAUACCAACAGGACUUGCUGUGGGGAAUCUGGGGUCCAGGCCUUCCCCCAGGGGUACAGGUGCAUUUUCCACUUACUGCCCCACCAAGCCAAGUGGGGUGCCCGCCCUGAGGGUUGCCCUUUUCCUCCAGCACGCUCCCCAUUCAACUGUCAGUGCACAGGUUCUGACCCCUUGCACUGGUGUCCUGAAGCCAUCCUGUUGCUUGUCUGUCCAUUCGAGAGGCCCCGCCUGGUUCCAGGCCACCAUCAGGGAGAGACCCCCAUGGAGAAGUCGUGGAGAUCCCCCAGCCAUCAUUAGCUCUCCCAGCUCCCCCCAUGCCCUGCCGCCUCCCCUCUCUGUGGAGCCUCACCCCAAGCCAGAGGCUCCCUGCCCCACUCCUGCUGUCUCCCUACUCUGGACCCCCCAUCUCAGUAGCCAGGUGACCCUUUAAAAAUGUCCAUCCAAAGCUUCCCAUGGCCGCCUCUGUCCCACAGCCCCCAUCUCGGUGCCCUCGGCUCCCUGACCAUGUGGACUCACGUCCAAGCCUCCUGCCCCCAAGUCGCCUUGCCCAGAACCUGCCCAGUCAGGGAGAAUUUGGGCAGCUGCUGCCAAGCGGCCCCCCAGUCCUCACCCUGCCACCCUCCCUGUCUGGCCUACUAGACCCUUUGUGGGGGUGGGGGUGCAGCGAUUGGCCGGUGACCGUUGGGGGCUCCUAGGCCCCUGGCUGGAAUCACAUGGCACCUUCAAAACCCAGAUGUCCCACUCCAACUGCUCACGAUGGCCAUUCCCGCUGAGGUCAGCCUGCACCCCUCCUUCUUCCUGACACGACAAGAGUCUGACACAGAGACCACCAGCCCAUCCAGGCACGCCCAGAAGCCGCCCCCCUCCUGGUCCCGCAGCCUGGCUCAUUCAGCCCUGUCUUCCCUUUGUCCAUCCACCCGGGCCUUCGUCAGCCAUGUGCAGCAAUGAGAAAGCGGUUCUCAUGACAACGGCCAGGGAGCCAGCUCUGAGGGGGAGUCACUGGGGAAAUCAGGUCUGUGGAGGCCUGAGCUGCAGACCAGGGGUGCAGGUGUGUGGGGACCCCACGGGUCUGAACAGAGCUGGCAGGCCAGGGUCACCAGGCAGCCUCAGAAAUGGAUCGCAGUCCUGGCCGCAGUUCUUGCUCACUGUGGGGCCCUGCACAGGUCAGCUCGCCACUCUGAGCCUCAGUUUCUUGAAAACAGGUAUUUGGGGGCCCCUUUUUAUAGGUUUGCAGGAGGGUUCUCAUUCCCAGUGAUGAUUGGGGCCAUUUUCAGAACCUCUACAGAUGCUGGGCACUUUAUGCCCUCUGGCCUUCAAAAAAGCCCUUUGUGAAAAGUGUAGCUUGCCCACGAUCCAGAGAAAGCGCAUCCCGGGGGGAAGAACCCACCAGGGCCACUAGGCCGCUGGGCAGUGGGGUCCAAGUGCAGGGCCCCUGGACUGUGUUCUUGUCCCCAGCUCCCUCCUGUUCCUGGCUGGACCCAGGCCAAGAGGCAGGGCUGAGGCCACACCCAGUCAGCCCGCAGGGUGCAGUUCCCCAGGGGGCACCGAGCUUGUAAUGCACCCAGGGCACUUAUGCACACGUGGGCUCCAGGCCCAGAUUGAUGAACAUUUGUCCCUGCAUCGAUGCGAAGGGAAAGCGACUUUGGUUUGGGGCUCGGAGUGCGUGUGUGGCAUGGGAACCAGACGUCCGUGCGCGGAGGACAGUACCAGCGCUCUGACUGUGCCCAGCGGCGCAAACACCUCUGUCUGCUACUGUGAAGAAGGUCUGAUCUCGUGGGUCCCCUGCAAGCAUCUUGGGGCCCCCUCGGGGUUCCACAGGCCACACUUCGAGAACUGGGGGGUGAGCUAUGCUCCAGGAGGGCAGUGAUUUUUGUUCUGGUCUCUUCCUGGAACAGAGCCCGGCACGGAGGAGGGGCUUGCUGAGCGAGUUCAUACCCCCUUUAUACACGGGGAAAUGCAGCCAGCACCUGGCGGUGCUGAGCGCAGGGCCGCACACCCGCCUGGACCCUGGCCUCUGGGCCCCUCAGGCAUUGGCCCUGCUGGCCCCCUGCGCCUGAAGCCCGGGGCCCCAGCGCCUCUGUCUCCCCACUGAGGCUCAGCUGCGAUAGCACCUCACGACAUCCCCCUGCAGCCUCCACCCGUCCCCCCAGCCAUCACCACGGGCCCGGGACGUCUGCUGACACAAGCACCGCACAUCUCCCAGCCCUGGGCACGAGCUCUGGGAGUGCGAGGGCUGUGUCCUGUCCACGAUGUGUCUAACCCAUGCCAACUCAGAGUAGGUGCUCAGUAAAUGCCCGCAGAAGGGCCGAGUCCACCACCGUGAAGCACUGAGCCUGAGGUCAGGGGGUGGCUGGUCCCCACAGACGGGGGUUCACACCCAGACGCAUGCACCCAACAUCGCGUCCUCAAGUCACUGGCAGUCGCUGCUGGCCACAGGGAGCCCACAUGGGGAGGAGGAACAGACAGGAGGGAAGAGAGGGAGCCCCGGCCGGCCCCUGCUCCUCCCUGGGGACCCACCAAGUGCCAGGCCCUCUGCAGGGGCCAGGGGCAAACCUCACAGAAACUGCUGCCAUCAAGGAGCCCGCCAGACCAGCGGUCGCAGUGAUGUCGGAGAGAAAGCCAGUUCUCCGCGACAAGGCCUGCCCACAGGAGAAACCAGCGUACCAGAGCCUCACCGACUCCAGCCGCCAGCAGCCAUCCUGUCACACUUGGGGGCCGGGGCAGCCAGAGAGGGGCACGUGCACUCACAGCCCAGGACACAGGCUUGCCAAGGGACUGAGCCCCGCCAGCGCUGGGCUCUGUGUGAGGGCCCCCUGUGUGCGCGCCCUCUCAGACUUACGACCACCAUGUGGGGGAGGGUGUCCCCUGGAGCAGAGGAAGCGGUGGCUCAGAGAGGUUCUGUAGCUGCCCCAAGCUCACACAGCCAGCAAGAGGGAGCCUUCAAAAGCCUCUCUGCCCAAAGCCCGCCAUCAGGCCGUGUUGGAACAGACAGCUCCCUUAGCCUGCCCCAGGCUGCACAUGCAGCAGACCGUCCCCGGAAACAGGGGGGUUGGGACGCUUAGACAUUUAAAUGCUGGCCGUGGCCAUGAGGCUCUCUCCCUUCGUUGGCUCCUCCUCCCUGCACAGCUCAUUCCAAGACUGACUCGCCUGGUCUCCUGGGAGCCACUCAUCCUGGGGCCCCACCUUGGCAGGACCCUGCUCCGGUCCUGGUAAAGCUGAGAGCACCAAGCUGACAUGACAUGGGGACAGCUCACCUCCAGAGCUACCAUCCUACUGUUCGUGGAAGAGGGGCAGACAGUCCCUGGAGGGAAGCGGGAGGCAGGAGGCAGGAGGCGGGGGGGCGUGGAGAAAUCAGCAGCACGCUCACGCUCGGGCCUACCAAAUGGACACUCCACAACUGAGACCGUGCCAUCUGCCCCCUGUGAUGGGACCACAAGUUUCUUGAGGAACUCGGUACCUUCACAGGGCAGCAGGAGGGAAUGCUGUGGACUGAAUGUGGCCAGGCAUUUGGGUGUCUGAAAAGCUGGGGGUCACGUCAGCCAUCAGCAAAGGAGCCCAUCCCAGCAACACGUUCCCAGAGGCCUAAAUCACCUCCCUGGGCCCACAGGACUGUCCUGCGUGCUCUAACCCACCAGCAGAGGUUGCUGAGGUCAUCAGUGUGUGCGUAAGGGCUGAGUCUAUGAACAUGAUCAAGGCUCAGUCCAUGGCUGGGAUCAGGGAUCAGGACACUGCCAGGAAUAAGACAAAGUCUAUAACCAGGGUCAAGGCUCAAUUAGUCCCCAGGAUCAGGGUUCAGUCUAUGACUAAAGUCAGGGCUCAGUCUACAACCGCAAUUAGAGUUCAGUGUUUGACUGGAAUCAGGGCUCAGUACGUGACCAGGAUAGGACUCAAUGUUCAACCAGGGACAGGGCUCAGCAUGUGACCAGGGUCAGAGGUCAGCGUGUGGCCAGGGUCGGGGCUCCACCCUUACUGAGAAUGAGGACGGGCUCAGUGGCGCCACACCGCGUCCUGCCAGGCUCCAUGUCUGUGUGACCGUCAGUGUAGUGUCAGCAAAGGGAAGAGCUCACAAAAUUGACUGUCACUCCUGACAGCAAACCACACUUGUUUUGCCUGAUUUUUUUCUCCCUUCCCCUACCCUCAGCCCAGCCAGGCGGCAGGGGAAGGUGUAAUUAAAAAUCAGGUUUGUUAACACGAACACGACGUACAUAAUAUUUAAAACAUCCAAGCGCCUUUAACUCGCUACCGACGUGCAUUUGCUCAUUAAGCAGGAAUUUUUUAUGGCAGCAACACUGCAAAUAGCUCUUAUUAAAAUGCUCAAAACGCCAUCUGGUCCUUAGCAGAGACUCUGAAGUGUCGCGGAGGUGGCCCAGCCUGCCUGGGGACUUGGAGAUUCCCAGCAGAGCAGCACAACCGGUUUCCCCACCCAGUGCCCCUGGGGUCCUCUCUGCACCUCACUGCACUUCAUGCCAGCGCACAGACACGGAGCCAGCGGCUGGGGCAGGAACGCACUUGCCCAGAUCACUGCAGCUACUGAGGAGACACGGGCACGUGAGCCUGCGUCUUUCUGGCCCGGAGGCCCAGGCCCUCUCCCGGGAGGAUGGGGUUUGAUGAGAGGCAAGGAGCCAGGGAAGCCUCGCCAAUCGAUGCGGCUGGGAUGGAGGGCAGGGGGCGGAGGAAGCCGGACUGGCACAGUCUGGAUGCAGGGACACCACGGCCUGGGGCCCAGCUCUGCGGAUGGGGCGGGGGUCCACUCUCUCACCAGGCCGUGGCCCUGGGAAUGCAUGGAAAGGG
Long non-coding RNA from Ailuropoda melanoleuca (giant panda), 5817 nucleotides. RefSeq lists it as uncharacterized. Lineage: Eukaryota; Metazoa; Chordata; Mammalia; Carnivora; Ursidae. The record is from RefSeq and is a predicted model, not a curated record. The transcript has 3 exons.